This 440-nucleotide ribosomal RNA is filed under the name uncultured bacterium. Its description in RNAcentral is "partial 16S ribosomal RNA". It matches the Rfam family "Bacterial small subunit ribosomal RNA", at positions 338 to 795 of the family's 1533-position model. The record is from RNAcentral.
CCUACGGGGGGCAGCAGUGGGGAAUAUUGCACAAUGGGGGAAACCCUGAUGCAGCGACGCCGCGUGAGUGAGGAAGUAUUUCGGUAUGUAAAGCUCUAUCAGCAGGGAAGAAAAUGACGGUACCUGACCAAGAAGCCCCGGCUAACUACGUGCCAGCAGCCGCGGUAAUACGUAGGGGGCAAGCGUUAUCCGGAUUUACUGGGUGUAAAGGGAGCGUAGGCGGCUGUGUAAGCCAGAAGUGAAAGCCCGAGGCUCAACCACGGGACUGCUUUUGGAACUACAUGGCUCGAUUGCAGGAGAGGCAAGUGGAAUUCCUAGUGUAGCGGUGAAAUGCGUAGAUAUUAGGAGGAACACCAGUGGCGAAGGCGGCUUGCUGGACUGUAAAUGACGCUGAGGCUCGAAAGCGUGGGGAGCAAACAGGAUUAGAUACCCUUGUAGUC